RNAcentral lists this ribosomal RNA (387 nucleotides) under uncultured Cryptomonadales. RNAcentral's name for it is "partial small subunit ribosomal RNA". It matches the Rfam family "Eukaryotic small subunit ribosomal RNA", at positions 30 to 432 of the family's 1831-position model. Lineage: Eukaryota; Cryptophyceae; Cryptomonadales. The record is from RNAcentral.
GCUUGUCUCAAAGAUUAAGCCAUGCAUGUCUUAGUGUAAAUAACUCUUAUGAAACUGCGAAUGGCUCAUUAAAUCAGUUAUCGUUUAUUUGAUGGUCCCUUACUACAUGGAUAACCGUAGUAAUUCUAGAGCUAAUACAUGCACAAAGGCCCGACUCACGAAGGGCUGUAUUUAUUAGAUUUAAAGCCGACAUCUUUUGGUGAUUCAUAAUAAUUAAGCGGAUCGCAUGGCCUUGUGCUAGCGACAGUCCACUCGAUUUUCUGCCCUAUCAUGGUUGAGAUUGUAAGAUAGAGGCUUACAAUGCCUACAACGGGUAACGGGGAAUUAGGGUUCGAUUCCGGAGAGGGAGCCUGAGAAACGGCUACCACAUCCAAGGAAGGCAGCAGG